GGUUUGUCGCGUUGUUCGUGAAAUCUCACGGCUUAACUGUGAGCGUGCGGGCGAUACGGGCAGACUUGAGUACUGCAGGGGAGACUGGAAUUCCUGGUGUAGCGGUGGAAUGCGCAGAUAUCAGGAGGAACACCGGUGGCGAAGGCGGGUCUCUGGGCAGUAACUGACGCUGAGGAGCGAAAGCGUGGGGAGCGAACAGGAUUAGAUACCCUGGUAGUCCACGCCGUAAACGGUGGGUACUAGGUGUGGGUUUCCUUCCUUGGGAUCCGUGCCGUAGCUAACGCAUUAAGUACCCCGCCUGGGGAGUACGGCCGCAAGGCUAAAACUCAAAGAAAUUGACGGGGGCCCGCACAAGCGGCGGAGCAUGUGGAUUAAUUCGAUGCAACGCGAAGAACCUUACCUGGGUUUGACAUGCACAGGACGCCGGCAGAGAUGUCGGUUCCCUUGUGGCCUGUGUGCAGGUGGUGCAUGGCUGUCGUCAGCUCGUGUCGUGAGAUGUUGGGUUAAGUCCCGCAACGAGCGCAACCCUUGUCUCAUGUUGCCAGCGGGUAAUGCCGGGGACUCGUGAGAGACUGCCGGGGUCAACUCGGAGGAAGGUGGGGAUGACGUCAAGUCAUCAUGCCCCUUAUGUCCAGGGCUUCACACAUGCUACAAUGGCCGGUACAAAGGGCUGCGAUGCCGCGAGGUUAAGCGAAUCCUUUUAAAGCCGGUCUCAGUUCGGAUCGGGGUCUGCAACUCGACCCCGUGAAGUCGGAGUCGCUAGUAA
RNAcentral lists this ribosomal RNA (766 nucleotides) under uncultured bacterium. RNAcentral's name for it is "bacterial SSU rRNA". It matches the Rfam family "Bacterial small subunit ribosomal RNA", at positions 577 to 1341 of the family's 1533-position model. The record is from RNAcentral. RNAcentral also lists the same sequence under 1 other name.